This is a long non-coding RNA of Helianthus annuus (common sunflower), 338 nucleotides long. RefSeq lists it as uncharacterized. NCBI's taxonomy places the organism in Eukaryota, Viridiplantae, Streptophyta, Magnoliopsida, Asterales, Asteraceae. The record is from RefSeq and is a predicted model, not a curated record. The transcript is spliced from 2 exons.
AACCACCAAAACCUUAUCUCUUUCCUUUUAUCUUCCUCAUAACAACUUCUUCAUUUUCUCCAUCUUUCUCAUAACAACUUCUUCAUCUUCUUCAUAACAACUUCUUCAUCUUCAUUCAAUUUCACCAUUAACAACCUUACAAAGUUUCAAGAUGUGGCACGACACGAGAGUGGCUACGGAUAAUGAAAUACAUGUUUUGUUGAUGACGUUGAUGCCGAAGUUUUUUAGCGAGUUAGGUAUUCCAUUAGUUUAGCUUAUGUGUAGUUUGUUAUGUAUUCACAAAUGAUUGUAAUUUGACGGGUUUAUUUCUGAAUUGGAUGUGGGGUUUAUUUUGGAUU